This is a long non-coding RNA of Homo sapiens (human), 2001 nucleotides long. RefSeq lists it as uncharacterized. The record is from RefSeq and is a predicted model, not a curated record. The transcript has 3 exons. Lineage: Eukaryota; Metazoa; Chordata; Mammalia; Primates; Hominidae.
GUAUCCCACAGCAGAUGGUGUGAAUGUGUGUCACCGGAGGCAUAUGGGGUGAUGGCAAAACCAACAAUGGUGUCCAGGCAUGUGCCCGGUGGAAAGGGGGAACAAGUGGCCUUUCCCUGAGUGCCAAGGGAAUUCAAAGAAGACCUGGGAACCUGGACGGGGCCUUUGCCUCAGUCCAAGCCACAUUUUGAAAUGCCUGCCAGAGGAGCACAGAGGUUUCUGCAACAUUCACCCCACCCCGAAGCCUCCACCGCCCAGAGACGAGGUCUCACUAUAUUGCCCAGGCUGGUCUUGAACUCCUGGCCUUAAGCGAUCCUCCUGCCUUGGCCUCCCAAAGUGCUGGAGUUACAGAUGUGAGCCUCUGUGCUCAGCCCAUCCUUGGCUGUUCAAGUGUAGAGCCAAGAAUGUUAAGGAACGUGGACACAAAGGAUGAGGUUGGAACAGAAGUUUAAUAUGCAAAAGAAGAAAGCUCUCCCCAGCGGAGAGGGGACCCGAAAGAGGGUUGCCAACUAGAAGGCUGAAUCUGGGGGUUUUGUGAACUGGGAAGGGGAAGAAUGUGCUCACUAGUCUGUGACCUGUCUUGGAGAAAGCACAACUUCGCUUGGCCCGGGACCUUAGCUUGGGACCAACCAGAGGCUGAAGUGAAAUUUUGGCCCAAGACCAAGCAGGGGCUGAAGUGAAAGUUUGGCCCAGGACCAAUCAGGGGCUGAAGUGAUGAUUCAUAGAGGCUCGGCUCACAGUCCAAAGCAUGUCCAGAAAAGGAAAGUGGUCACCAGAGCCUGUUAGUCCAAGCUGCACCGAUUUGUAAGCCCCCACCAUUUCACAGACCCUGGUCAGAGGGAAACAUUCCACUGGGGUUUGGGCUGCGAGAAACAUCCUCCCCAACCGCCUGACUUCCUUAUCACAUCCUGCUGGGGAAAGGCCCAAGAAACAUCCUUAUCAACAUGCUCCCAGGCAACAAGCUAUACUGCCCAGAUCCCUCCUGCCCAGGCCUAUAAUUACUCCAGCCUGUAAGCGGCAGUGGGCUCUGGCAUUUAGUUGGUCCCCUCCAUAGAGCUGCCAACUCUCUCUCUUUCUUUAACCUUCACCUUCCCUUCAAAAUCUAACAGAGCCCACCAUAUACAUGCCCACAAAAAAGCGACUAUUUCCUGGAAGCCCACUGGUCACACAAAGGACAAAGGCAUUUCUAUGUUGGGCCUCGGUCCCCUAUCAAUGCAGCUGAGGAAUGUCUUUAGGACAACCCCCUUUGCUAGUUUUCCUUCUCUGUGCCUGCAGCCUGAUUUUUCAGGCUGUUUCUCUGUUGAAAGGAGUUUUACCAAGGACCCGCUCUAACUCCCUAAAGGGUUUUUUCUCUCAAGGGGACACACAAAUUUCCAAUCGCACACAUGCCUCCCUAUAUCCACUUACCCUCUGCCUCACAGCCAAUCACACUCUCCUCUCUCACACAGACCACGGGGCCACACAAGUUGCACCUGCACAGCCACAGACCUGCAACUCAUGCACACACAGUACUGCACACACACGCAAAGUCACACACCCACCUUGGGACACGCAGCCCCCACUACACAGUCACCGGUUGUCCACAUCCGCACACACAGCGCGGCUCGUCCAGGACACACACAUCCACUCCGAGCGCGCACAGUCACAAGCGCCCACCUGAUCACCCAGAGUCAGCACCACACAGCCACAGUCACAGACCACGAAGACCCACGGCAACCAUGGCAAUCACACACGCAAACUCCUCUCCUCAGCCCUCCACACACAAAAGGACCAGAGCCGGAUUCCUCAUCCUCAGCUUUCUCUAGUUCCGCUCGGGGCCGGCCUGGCCAAGUUACUCCGGACUCCAAGGCGUGGCAGCAGCUAAUUGGGCACAGCGAAAGAUUCUGCCACCUGGCUAAGAGGAAGCCAAAAUCUCGCGAGACAUGGUAUUGGCCCGCAGAAUCCUCCGGGAAAUGUAGUCCAGAGCCCGACUGCUCCCCUGCUAAAAAUACAAAAAUUAGC